UACGGGGGGGGCAAGCGUUGUUCGGAAUUACUGGGCGUAAAGGGCUCGUAGGCGGCCAACUAAGUCAGACGUGAAAUCCCUCGGCUUAACCGGGGAACUGCGUCUGAUACUGGAUGGCUGGAGUCCGGAAGAGGCGAGUGGAAUUCCUGGUGUAGCGGUGAAAUGCGCAGAUAUCAGGAGGAACACCAAUGGCGAAGGCAGCUCGCUGGGACGGUACUGACGCUGAGACGCGAAAGCGUGGGGAGCAAACAGG
This 253-nucleotide ribosomal RNA is filed under the name uncultured bacterium. RNAcentral describes it as "partial 16S ribosomal RNA". It matches the Rfam family "Bacterial small subunit ribosomal RNA", at positions 524 to 776 of the family's 1533-position model. The record is from RNAcentral.